GCUACGGGUGGCAGCAGUAGGGAAUAUUGCUCAAUGGGGGAAACCCUGAAGCAGCAACGCCGCGUGGAGGAUGAAGGUUUUCGGAUUGUAAACUCCUUUUGGUAGAGAAGAGAAUGACGGUAUCUAACGAAUAAGCACCGGCUAACUCCGGGCCAGCAGCCGCGGUAAUACGGAGGGUGCAAGCGUUACGCCGAAUCACUGGGCGUAAAGAGCGCGUAGGCGGGAUAGCAAGUCAGAUGUGAAAUCCUAGGGCUUAACCAUAGAACUGCAUUUGAAACUGUUAUUCUAGAGUAUGGGAGAGGUAGGUGGAAUUCUUGGUGUCGUGGUCCAAUCCGUAGAUAUC
Molecule: ribosomal RNA, 343 nt
Filed under: uncultured bacterium
Lineage: Bacteria
Description: partial 16S ribosomal RNA
Rfam family: Bacterial small subunit ribosomal RNA
Source: RNAcentral